Molecule: non-coding RNA, 244 nt
Organism: Pelobates cultripes (western spadefoot toad)
Lineage: Eukaryota; Metazoa; Chordata; Amphibia; Anura; Pelobatidae
Source: the annotation of a GenBank genome assembly
CUGUAUCUCAACAGCUGAUAUCUUCUUAUAGGAACUCUAUCUCAAGAGCUGAUAUCUUCUAGUUAAAGUAACCAACUUAAAGGACAACUAUAACCUCAAAGCUAUUUUUAAUAUAAUAACCCUUUCAUAAAAUUUUGAAAGGAAAUAGAUUUAAAAAAAAAAAGAAGUAUAUGUACACAAAAUGAGGAAAACCUAUUUCUACCAUUAGCAUAUGACAGGAUCCUUUAGCCAUAUACAUGUCUCU